UAUUGCACAAUGGGGGAAACCCUGAUGCAGCGACGCCGCGCGAGUGGAGAAGGAUUUCGGUAUGUAAAGCUCUAUCAGCAGGGAAGAAAAUGAAGGUACUUGAUUAAGAAGCCCCGGCUAACUACGUCCCAGCAACCGCGGUAAUACGUAGGGGGCAAGCGUUAUCCGGAUUUACUGGGUGUAAAGAGAGCGUAGACGGCAGCACAAGUCUGGAGUGAAAUGCCGGGGCUUAACCCCGGAACUGCUUUGGAAACUGUGCAGCUAGAGUGCAGGAGAGGUAAGUGGAAUUCCUAGUGUAGCGGUGAAAUGCGUAGAUAUUAGGAGGAACACCAGUGGCGAAGGCGGCUUACUGGACUGUAACUGACGUUGAGGCUCGAAAGCGUGGGGAGCAAACAGG
RNAcentral lists this ribosomal RNA (397 nucleotides) under uncultured bacterium. RNAcentral's name for it is "bacterial SSU rRNA". It matches the Rfam family "Bacterial small subunit ribosomal RNA", at positions 362 to 776 of the family's 1533-position model. The record is from RNAcentral.